UCUUUGAUGGCUCAGACGGUAAAGCAUCUGCCUGCAAUGCAGGAGACCCAGGUUCAAUCCCUGGGUUGGGAA
Molecule: transfer RNA, 72 nt
Filed under: Ovis aries (sheep)
Lineage: Eukaryota; Metazoa; Chordata; Mammalia; Artiodactyla; Bovidae
Rfam family: tRNA
About the family: Transfer RNA (tRNA) molecules are approximately 80 nucleotides in length. Their secondary structure includes four short double-helical elements and three loops (D, anti-codon, and T loops).
Source: Rfam by way of RNAcentral